RNAcentral lists this ribosomal RNA (387 nucleotides) under uncultured bacterium. RNAcentral describes it as "bacterial SSU rRNA". It matches the Rfam family "Bacterial small subunit ribosomal RNA", at positions 954 to 1342 of the family's 1533-position model. The record is from RNAcentral.
GCUUAACGCGAAGAACCUUACCAGGUCUUGACAUCCAGAGAACUUUCCAGAGACGGAUUGGUGCCUUCGGGAGCUCUGAGACAGGUGCUGCAUGGCUGUCGUCAGCUCGUGUCGUGAGAUGUUGGGUUAAGUCCCGUAACGAGCGCAACCCUUGUCCUUAGUUGCCAGCGCGUAAUGGCGGGAACUCUAAGGAGACUGCCGGUGACAAACCGGAGGAAGGUGGGAUGACGUCAAGUCAUCAUGGCCCUUACGACCUGGGCUACACACGUGCUACAAUGGGCGGUACAAGGGUUGCCAAGCCGCGAGGUGGAGCUAAUCCCAUAAAACCGUUCGUAGUCCGGAUUGGAGUCUGCAACUCGACUCCAUGAAGUCGGAAUCGCUAGUAAU